AUACGAAGGUCCCAAGCGUUAUUCGGAAUCAUUUGGCGUAAAGGGCACGCAGGCGGUUCUGUCAGUCAGAUGUGAAAGCCCGGGGCUUAACCCCGGACGUGCAUUUGAAACAGCAGGACUUGAGUAUGGUAGAGGAAAGCGGAAUUCCUGGUGUAGAGGUGAAAUUCGUAGAUAUCAGGAGGAACACCGGUGGCGAAGGCGGCUUUCUGGACCAAAACUGACGCUGAGGUGCGAAGGCGUGGGUAGCGAACAGGAUUAGAAACCCCUGUAGUCC
This 274-nucleotide ribosomal RNA is filed under the name uncultured bacterium. RNAcentral's name for it is "partial 16S ribosomal RNA". It matches the Rfam family "Bacterial small subunit ribosomal RNA", at positions 523 to 796 of the family's 1533-position model. The record is from RNAcentral.